GUGGGGAAUAUUGCACAAUGGGGGAAACCCUGAUGCAGCCAUGCCGCGUGUGUGAAGAAGGCCUUCGGGUUGUAAAGCACUUUCAGUAGGGAGGAAGGGGUGAUGACUAAUAUCCAGCAUCUGUGACGUUACUCGCAGAAGAAGCACCGGCUAACUCCGUGCCAGCAGCCGCGGUAAUACGGAGGGUGCAAGCGUUAAUCGGAAUUACUGGGCGUAAAGCGCACGCAGGCGGUUAGAUAAGUCAGAUGUGAAAGCCCCGGGCUCAACCUGGGAACUGCAUUCGAAACUGGCAGGCUAGAGUCUUGUAGAGGGGGGUAGAAUUCCAGGUGUAGCGGUGAAAUGCGUAGAGAUCUGGAGGAAUACCGGUGGCGAAGGCGGCCCCCUGGACAAAGACUGACGCUCAGGUGCGAAAGCGUGGGGAGCAAACGGGAUUAGAUACCCUAGUAGUCC
RNAcentral lists this ribosomal RNA (450 nucleotides) under uncultured bacterium. Its description in RNAcentral is "partial 16S ribosomal RNA". It matches the Rfam family "Bacterial small subunit ribosomal RNA", at positions 354 to 796 of the family's 1533-position model. The record is from RNAcentral.